RNAcentral lists this ribosomal RNA (253 nucleotides) under uncultured bacterium. RNAcentral describes it as "partial 16S ribosomal RNA". It matches the Rfam family "Bacterial small subunit ribosomal RNA", at positions 524 to 776 of the family's 1533-position model. The record is from RNAcentral.
UACGGGGGGGGCAAGCGUUGUUCGGAAUUACUGGGCGUAAAGGGCUCGUAGGUGGCCAACUAAGUCAGACGUGAAAUCCCUCAGCUUAACUGGGGAACUGCGUCUGAUACUGGAUGCUUGAGUUUGGGAGAGGGAUGCGGAAGUUCCAGGUGUAGCGGUGAAAUGCGUAGAUAUCUGGAGGAACACCGGUGGCGAAGGCGGCAUCCUGGACCAAUACUGACACUGAGGAGCGAAAGCCAGGGGAGCAAACGGG